GCCUUAAAUAGCCGGGCUGCUGCAGACACGCGCUUGGUAGCUGAGCCUGGGACCCGCGGGAGAAGUGCCUGGGAAACCGCGCGCCCAGCCUGCCCUCGGCUGGGGGUGGCGAAGGGGCGCACCAUGCCUGCGGACAUCCCGGGGAAGCCGAGGGCCUCGCCGCGGGCGGGAGCGGCGGGGGGGGCGGCCCCGGCCCCCGCACACCCCCCCGCCGCCGNNNNNNNNNNNNNNNNNGCCCCCUCCUGGACGCCCUCAGGAAAGGGGUGGGUUGGGGGGGGGGACAAGACUGGGGAGCCUGGAAUCCCGGCCUUCCUGGGCGGCCCGCCGCCCUCACCGGCCCCGCCCGCAGAGCUCCCGCCGCUCGAAGCUGGAGAAGGCGGACAUCCUGGAGCUGACCGUGAGGCACCUGCAGAGCCUGCGGCGCGUGCAGGUGACAGCUGCCCUCCGCUCAGACCCCGCCAUCCUGGGCAAGUAUCGCGCCGGCUUCCAUGAGUGUCUGGCCGAAGUGAAUCGCUUC
Molecule: long non-coding RNA, 517 nt
Filed under: Bos mutus (wild yak)
Lineage: Eukaryota; Metazoa; Chordata; Mammalia; Artiodactyla; Bovidae
Description: lncRNA (ENSBMUG00000025433.1)
Source: RNAcentral